Molecule: long non-coding RNA, 1688 nt
Organism: Betta splendens (Siamese fighting fish)
Lineage: Eukaryota; Metazoa; Chordata; Actinopteri; Anabantiformes; Osphronemidae
Source: Ensembl
AUGCCACUAGUGAAAGCCAGGGUGAUGGAUGAGCUCGGCCACUACGCCAUCCAACAAGCAGAGGAUAGAAUGCUAGCAGCCAGGGAGCCCACACACCUUCAGUUCAGGAGGGCAGGUGUUGGACCCAAGCCGCCCACACAGAGCCCCCCACAGAGCUGCAGCAGCCACAGAGACAGCACCCGAGGCCAGAGUGGGCCACUGUGGGUCAACGCUGUCCGCCCCAUGAGAACCAGGGGCAAACACUCCCCCCGGCGGGAGGGUCGGCCUGAAAGAGUGGAGCCCGAGGACCCACGGUCCCUACGGAACCCACCAGGAGAUGCCCCCGCGCCCAGAGUGGGGCCCACCCCCAUUCACAGCGGGAUGAAAGAGGUCACGCAUGAAUGCAUCAGCAUUAUGGAGCAUGUCUUCAACCAGAGCCUCAAGCUGAGGGUGGUACCACGGCUCUGGAAGACUUCCUGUGUGGUACCAGUGCCCAAGACAACGCACCCUAAAGACCUCAACAACUUCAGGCCGGUGGCUCUGACACCACACCUCAUGAAGACACUGGAGAGACUGGUUCUACAUCAACUGCGCUGCAUGGUGAGCUCAGCAAUGGAUCUGCUGCAGUUUGCCUACCAGUCUGGCAUCGGAGUAAAGGACGCCAUCAUCUUCCUGCUCCAUCGUUCCCUGGCCCACCUUGGGAAGCCUGACAGCACUGUGAGGAUUCUGUUCUUCGACUUCUCCAGUGCCUUUAAUACCAUACAGCCGGCUCUCUUAAGGGACAAAUUGGAGUCAGCUGGCGUGGACAGUUACCUGACAGUGGAUACUGGACCACCUCACAAACCGUCCCAAGUUUGUGAGGGUCUGGGACUGCGUGUCGGACACUCUGACCUGCAGUGUGGGAGCCCCACAGGGGACUGUCCCGGCCCCCUUCGUCUUCACCCUCUACACUGCAGACUUCAGACACAACUCAUCUGGCUGUGUUCUGCAGAAGUUCUCUGACGACUCUGCAAUUGUUGGACUUAUUACUGACGAUGAUGACGCAGAGUACAGAGAACUGACACUGUGGUGGCGUCAGCCAUCCUGUACAGUGUGGUCUGCUGGAGCAGCAGCAUCACAGAGAGGGAGAGGAAGAAGCUGGAUCAGGUCAUUAAGAAGUCCAGCUCUGUCCUGGGCUGCACUCUGGAGUCAGUGAGGGAGGUGGGAGACAGAAGAGUUCUGGCAAAAUUCACAUCCAUGCUGGACCACGAGUCCCACCCACUGCAGGACACACUGUCUGCCCUGGAGAGCAGACUCAGUGACAGACUGAUUCACCCUCGCUGUGGGAAGGAGAGAUUCUGCAGGUCUUUCCUUCCUGCUUCUGUCAAACUUUAUAACAAACAAUUAUAACAUGGUGCACAUUUCUACCACACUGGCCCACACACGCUACAUCUCUAGGGCAAUUGCACCAGUCACUUUAAUAUCUUACUCACUUUGUUUGGUGCAGUCACCUUAUUUCAUUGUGUGCAUAAUGUUGAUAACCUGUGGAGUUCCAAGUUCUAAUUUCUUAUAAUUAUUGUGUUAUUAUUAUUAUUAUUAUGCUAUUUCCUCUGUAUUUAUGUCUAUAUGUCUUUGUGAUGUUGCAACAUGGUAAUUUCCUCAUUGCGGGACAAUGAAGGUAUUCUAUUCUAUGAGUAGACUGCAAAAUAAAAAACACAUCAGCGGAACCA